This is a transfer RNA of Loxodonta africana (African savanna elephant), 71 nucleotides long. It matches the Rfam family "tRNA". From Rfam's summary of the family: Transfer RNA (tRNA) molecules are approximately 80 nucleotides in length. Their secondary structure includes four short double-helical elements and three loops (D, anti-codon, and T loops). Further hydrogen bonds mediate the characteristic L-shaped molecular structure. tRNAs have two regions of fundamental functional importance: the anti-codon, which is responsible for specific mRNA codon recognition, and the 3' end, to which the tRNAs corresponding amino acid is attached (by aminoacyl-tRNA synthetases). tRNAs cope with the degeneracy of the genetic code in two manners: having more than one tRNA (with a specific anti-codon) for a particular amino acid; and 'wobble' base-pairing, i.e. permitting non-standard base-pairing at the 3rd anti-codon position. NCBI's taxonomy places the organism in Eukaryota, Metazoa, Chordata, Mammalia, Proboscidea, Elephantidae. The record is from Rfam.
GCAGUGAUGGUUCAGUGAUAGAAUGCUCACCUUUCAUGCGAGAGAACUGGGUUCGAUUCCCAGUCAAUGCA